GAUGAACGCUGGCGGCGUGCCUAACACAUGCAAGUCGAACGAAGCACUUAUACGGAUUCCUUCGGGAAGAAGUAUUUGUGACUGAGUGGCGGACGGGUGAGUAACGCGUGGGCAACCUGCCCUAUACCGGGGGACAACAGCUGGAAACGGCUGCUAAUACCGCAUAAGCGCACAGAGUCGCAUGGCUCGGUGUGAAAAACUCCGGUGGUAUAGGAUGGACCCGCGUCCGAUUAGCUAGUUGGUAGUGUAAUGGACUACCAAGGCGACGAUCGGUAGCCGGCCUGAGAGGGCGGACGGCCACAUUGGGACUGAGACACGGCCCAGACUCCUGCGGGAGGCAGCAGUGGGGGAUAUUGCACAAUGGGGGAAACCCUGAUGCAGCGACGCCGCGUGAGUGAAGAAGUAUUUCGGUAUGUAAAGCUCUAUCAGCAGGGAAGAAAAUGACGGUACCUGACUAAGAAGCCCCGGCUAACUACGUGCCAGCCGCCGCCGUAAGAC
Molecule: ribosomal RNA, 498 nt
Filed under: uncultured bacterium
Lineage: Bacteria
Description: bacterial SSU rRNA
Rfam family: Bacterial small subunit ribosomal RNA
Source: RNAcentral